Non-coding RNA from Paramuricea clavata, 1440 nucleotides. The record is from the annotation of a GenBank genome assembly. NCBI's taxonomy places the organism in Eukaryota, Metazoa, Cnidaria, Anthozoa, Malacalcyonacea, Plexauridae.
GUAUUUUCUCGAUAUUUGACUCGAUUUUUAAAUUGUUUUCGAGAUAUUUUUUCUAAAUUCGGUUAUUGGUUCAAAGAUGUGCAAGUCGUACGUGUUAUUCUUCCCGGGAAAGACAACAAAAUUCAAACCUCGCUGUCCUCGCAAAAUAUGAGCAAAGCCAAAGAGGAUAUUUGAAUCAGCGAGCUAUAAACAGGUAUUUGACCGUAUUUCAUUCAAUUUUAUUUAUGCUUUAUCUUAUCUCACAUAAAAUUGGUGGGCUUUUUACUUAAGCUUGACGAUGAAAUGCACUUAUUUUGUUAAGAAAACAGCCUUUUGCUGUUUUUUGGUGUAAUUUGGCAUCUGUAUAUUUCAAAAUUUGGUUGCAGAAACUACAACUUUUUGUUAUUUAUAUUAAGGUACUUUAGAUAAUGCUAUUAACUCCAGACGUUCCUUCAAAGCAAACGGUAUGUCACGUAUGUGUUCAAAUAUAUUCAGGUUUUGUGUAAUAAUGACAUGUGCCAACUUUGCAUACAAGGCUAAUCAAUGUCAAUGACAAGACUUUUGGAGUACUCAAAUAUUUCCCAAAAUACCUGUAUAUAUAACUUAUAUAUACCCCCCCCCCCCUUCAAGAAAAUGCUUCUGUGUGAUGAAAAGAUAUUACAUUGGCCAUUUACAACAUGUUGGGAGCUGCAGUACACCCUGUUUAUUUUAUUUUUACUUGUCUAACGCCAGACGAUUUUACUCAUCAAUGGGGAAGCUCUGCAGCUUAAUGGGUUUAACAAUUUGGAACACCAGGCAUACUGGAUGGCAAUCUGGCAAUUACUUCGUAACUACUGUAUGUUGCUUCCCUUGCACUGGGAAGGUACCUUGUAUCCUGGCCACUUUUGAUUAUUAUACUAUUAACCCAUUAAGCUGCAGAGCUUCCCCAUUGACAAGUAAAAUCAUCCGGCGUUAAACAAGUUAAAAAAAUAAGUAGGGCGCACUGCAGCUCAAUGUGUUAACUAGAGGCAUUGUCAGAUUUUUUGGUUAACCCAUUAAGCUGCAGAGCUUCCCCAAUUGACAAGUAAAAUCGUCUGGUGUCAGACAAGUAAAAAAAGUAGGGCAUGCUGGGGCGCAUUGCGGCUCAAUGGGUUAAGCCUGAUAAUUGCACCAAUGGUUCUGGUGUCUCUGAGUCGCAUUGUUUUGUUUUUCCCAUCAUCAUUUUUGUGCUCAAAGUUACAACAUAUAAUAUAUUUUUGUUUAUUCCAGAAUUAUCUCACAAUUGGGAUAUCAUAAUCUGGCAUUUGUCCUGACUCACUCUGGUUUCCCAGUUAACCCAUAGAGUGGCUCUCCCAUUGACAAGUAAAAGUAGGGCAGGCAAAAUACAGUACAAGCAAGAUGUAUGGAAAUUGAAGACACAAAAGCUGGAUUAAUUUUGAACUAUUUUAAUUGGACUUUUCAAUACAGUAAAAUUAUUAACAG